UUUAAAAUAGAAGCAUGUCCCAUGCAGUAUUUGGAACAUACAUAUAUUAAAA
Molecule: microRNA precursor, 52 nt
Filed under: Marmota monax (woodchuck)
Lineage: Eukaryota; Metazoa; Chordata; Mammalia; Rodentia; Sciuridae
Source: RNAcentral